RNAcentral lists this ribosomal RNA (305 nucleotides) under uncultured bacterium. RNAcentral describes it as "bacterial SSU rRNA". It matches the Rfam family "Bacterial small subunit ribosomal RNA", at positions 334 to 637 of the family's 1533-position model. The record is from RNAcentral.
UCGUCCUACGGGGGGCAGCAGUGGGGAAUAUUGGGCAAUGGGCGCAAGCCUGACCCAGCAACGCCGCGUGAAGGACGAAGGUGCCAAGCAUUGUAAACUUCUUUUGUCAAGGGACAAAAUCAGGCUCGAGAGCCUGACCGAGGGUACUUGAAGAAAAAGCAUCGGCUAACUCCGUGCCAGCAGCCGCGGUAAUACGGAGGAUGCGAGCGUUAUCCGGAUUUAUUGGGUUUAAAGGGUGCGUAGGCGGACUGUUAAGUCAGCGGUAAAAACCCGGGGCUCAACCCCGGCGAGCCGUUGAAACUGGC